GCGAGCUCUCAAGACUCUCUACAACCCUGUGAACCGACUAUACGAACCGUUGCUUCGGCGGUGCCCCGGGAUUCGUUCCCGCCGUCAGCCCGCCGGCAGAACGACAAAUUCUGUUAUUCUUGUUUCUUGGCAUCUCUAUACAAUAAGUUA
RNAcentral lists this unclassified non-coding RNA (150 nucleotides) under soil metagenome. Its description in RNAcentral is "partial internal transcribed spacer 1". The record is from RNAcentral.